AACGAACGCUGGCGGCAGGCUUAACACAUGCAAGUCGAACGCUCGUGAGCGAUCACGGGAGUGGCAGACGGGUGAGUAACGCGUGGGAACAUACCCUCCGGUUCGGAAUAGCUCAGGGAAACUUGGAUUAAUACCGGAUACGGCCAAGGAUGAGAAUCGCUGGCGAAAGAUUGAUCGCCGGAGGAUUGGCCCGCGUUCGAUUAGCUAGUUGGUGAGGUAACGGCUCACCAAGGCGAUGAUCGAUAGCUGGUCUGAGAGGAUGAUCAGCCA
RNAcentral lists this ribosomal RNA (270 nucleotides) under uncultured bacterium. RNAcentral's name for it is "partial 16S ribosomal RNA". It matches the Rfam family "Bacterial small subunit ribosomal RNA", at positions 29 to 310 of the family's 1533-position model. The record is from RNAcentral.